This 109-nucleotide ribosomal RNA is filed under the name Carlito syrichta (Philippine tarsier). The record is from RNAcentral. Lineage: Eukaryota; Metazoa; Chordata; Mammalia; Primates; Tarsiidae.
GUCUAUGGCCAUACCACCCUGAAUGCACCCGAUCUCGUCUGACCAUGGAAGUUAAGCAGGUUCAGACCUGGUUAGUAUUUGGAUGGGAAAAUACAUAUGACUAUCAAAC